UGAGUAACUGCGCUCCUGAGCUGUUGUACCGGUUUUCCAUGGUUUGCUUUAAUCGGCAGGCUGUGGUGGCUGGUGUGUUUACCUUGAUAAAUCAAAAUGCUCAAGAUAGGCGUCUCGCCUGAAUGACAGUGCAUGGAAUAUGGGAAUACGACUUCGGUUUUAUUCUGUUGGUCUUGGAACCGAUGUAAUGGUUCAGAGGGACUCACGGGGGCCAUUUGUAUCGAUGCGUGAGAGGUGAAAUUCUUGGACCGCCAUCGAGACAAACUACUGCGAAAGCAUUUGCCAAGAAAGUCUUCUUUAAUCAAGAACGAAAGUCAGAGGAUCGAAGGCGAUUAGAUACCGCCCCUAGUUCUGACACUAAACGAUGCCAACUAGCGAUCUGGCGGUGGCUAUUAAACCCCGCCUGGGAGCUUCCCGGAAACGAAAGUCUUCGGGUUCCGGGGGUAGUAUGGUUGCAAAGCUGAAACUUAAAGGAAUUGACGGAAGGGCACCCCCCGGAGUGGAGCCUGCGGCUUAAUUUGACUCAACACGGGAAAACUCACCCGGCCCGGACACUGUAAUGAUUGACAGAUUGAGAGUUCUUUCUUGAUUCGGUGGUUGGUGGUGCAUGGCCGUUCUUAGUUGGUGGAGUGAUUUGUCUGGUUUAUUCCGAUAACGAACGAGACUCUAACCUGCUAAAUAGUUCUGCAGUAGAUUCGCUGCAGCAACUUCUUAGAGGGAUCAGUGG
RNAcentral lists this ribosomal RNA (727 nucleotides) under uncultured eukaryote. Its description in RNAcentral is "SSU rRNA". It matches the Rfam family "Eukaryotic small subunit ribosomal RNA", at positions 674 to 1426 of the family's 1831-position model. The record is from RNAcentral.